Molecule: signal recognition particle RNA, 264 nt
Filed under: Acidimicrobiia bacterium
Lineage: Bacteria; Bacillati; Actinomycetota; Acidimicrobiia
Description: signal recognition particle sRNA large type
Rfam family: Bacterial large signal recognition particle RNA
About the family: The signal recognition particle (SRP) is a universally conserved ribonucleoprotein involved in the co-translational targeting of proteins to membranes.
Source: RNAcentral
CCGUGCUAGGCGGGGAGCUUGUGGUGCCCUGUACCCCAAACCCACACAUGGGGGGCUGAUCAACCGUCUGAGGCCUGGACCAAACAUCGCAACCGGAUUCCUCGACGUGUCGAGGGUUGGGUCCCGCGCAACGUAACCCUGUGAACCGAGUCAGGUCCGGGAGGAAGCAGCUCUCAGCAGUGAGUUGCGUGUGCCGCGGGGUUGCCUGAUCUGAGCCGACAGGAAAAACGAGCUUUGCGAGGCCUUGUCGAAGCGGGGGCACGG